CCCUUAGAUGUUCUGGGCCGCACGCGUGCUACACUGAGUGGAUCAGCGGGCCAGGUUGCGCGAAAGCGUUUCCUAAUCUUGAAAUCCGCUCGUGAUGGGGAUUGACGGUUGCAAUUUUCCGUCAUGAACGAGGAAUACCUUGUAAGCGCGGGUCAUCAUCCCGCGCUGAAUACGUCCCUGCCCUUUGUACACACCGCCCGUCGCUCCUACCGAUUGAGUGGUCCGGUGAGGCUUUGGGAUCUGAGCGGAAAGAGCGUUUCGCUGUUUCUGCUCGGAAAACUCAGUCGAACCUUAUCAUUUAGAGGAAGGAGAAGUCGUAACA
Molecule: ribosomal RNA, 322 nt
Filed under: uncultured eukaryote
Lineage: Eukaryota
Description: partial 18S ribosomal RNA
Rfam family: Eukaryotic small subunit ribosomal RNA
Source: RNAcentral